RNAcentral lists this long non-coding RNA (213 nucleotides) under Lathyrus oleraceus (garden pea). Its description in RNAcentral is "Pisum sativum (pea) long non-coding RNA (PSAT_LNC035907)". The record is from RNAcentral. Lineage: Eukaryota; Viridiplantae; Streptophyta; Magnoliopsida; Fabales; Fabaceae.
AUCCUUUUGGUGAUAACAAGUUUGUUGUGUGACUAUACCUUCAUCCUUUUGGUGAUGGUGAUCAUUGAAGUUAUUUGACUUAUUAUCAUCCUUUUGGUGAUAACAAGUUUGUUGUGUGACUAUACCUUCAUCCUUUUGGUGAUGGUGAUCAUUGAAGUUAUUUGACUUAUUAUCAUCCUUUUGGUGAUAACAAGUUUUGUUGUUGGAUCUUAC